This 45-nucleotide non-coding RNA is filed under the name Schistosoma mansoni. The record is from RNAcentral. Lineage: Eukaryota; Metazoa; Platyhelminthes; Trematoda; Strigeidida; Schistosomatidae.
AUCCAGCUGACAGGUCUUAAAUAGGACGAAACAUGAGUCUUGGAU